This 533-nucleotide ribosomal RNA is filed under the name uncultured bacterium. RNAcentral's name for it is "bacterial SSU rRNA". It matches the Rfam family "Bacterial small subunit ribosomal RNA", at positions 90 to 640 of the family's 1533-position model. The record is from RNAcentral.
ACUUAGUGGCGAACGGGUGAGUAACGCGUGAGUAACCUGCCCUGGAGUGGGGGACAACAGUUGGAAACGACUGCUAAUACCGCAUAAGCCCACGGAUCCGCAUGGAUCUGCGGGAAAAGGAUUUAUUCGCUUCAGGAUGGACUCGCGUCCAAUUAGCUAGUUGGUGAGGUAACGGCCCACCAAGGCGACGAUUGGUAGCCGGACUGAGAGGUUGAACGGCCACAUUGGGACUGAGACACGGCCCAGACUCCUACGGGAGGCAGCAGUGGGGGAUACUGCACAAUGGGGGAAACCCUGAUGCAGCGACGCCGCGUGGAGGAAGAAGGUUUUCGGAUUGUAAACUCCUGUCGUUAGGGACGAUAAUGACGGUACCUAACAAGAAAGCACCGGCUAACUACGUGCCAGCAGCCGCGGUAAAACGUAGGGUGCAAGCGUUGUCCGGAAUUACUGGGUGUAAAGGGAGCGCAGGCGGACCGGCAAGUUGGAAGUGAAAACUAUGGGCUCAACCCAUAAAUUGCUUCAAAACUGCUGGC